RNAcentral lists this ribosomal RNA (459 nucleotides) under uncultured bacterium. RNAcentral's name for it is "bacterial SSU rRNA". It matches the Rfam family "Bacterial small subunit ribosomal RNA", at positions 781 to 1240 of the family's 1533-position model. The record is from RNAcentral.
GAUACCCUGGUAGUCCACGCAGUAAACGAUGAACACUAAUUGUCCGGGCAGAUAGAUGCCUGGGUGAUACAGCGAAAGCGUUAAGAUUCCACCUGGGGAGUACGCCGGCAACGGUGAAACUCAAAGGAAUUGACGGGGGCCCGCACAAGCGGAAGAACAUGUGGGUUUAAUUCGAUGAUACGCGAGGGACCUUACCCCGGCUCAAACGCCGUCUGACGUAGGCUGAAAGGCUUAUUUCUUCGGACAGACGGCGAGGUGCUGCAUGGUUGUCGUCAGCUCGUGCCGUGAGUUGUCGGCUUAAGUGCGAUAACGAGCGCAACCCCUGUCGACAGUUGCUAACAGGUUAGGCUGAGGACUCUGUCGAGACUGCCGGCGCAAGCGGUGAGGUAGGGCGGGGAUGACGUCAAAUCAGCACGGCCCUUACGUCCGGGGCGACACACGUGUUACAAUGGCAGGUAC